RNAcentral lists this long non-coding RNA (205 nucleotides) under Lathyrus oleraceus (garden pea). Its description in RNAcentral is "Pisum sativum (pea) long non-coding RNA (PSAT_LNC035807)". The record is from RNAcentral. Lineage: Eukaryota; Viridiplantae; Streptophyta; Magnoliopsida; Fabales; Fabaceae.
UUCACUUUAACCGGUGACGGAUUUUCUCUUUGAUUGGUCUUCUUCCCAAUAACCGGUAGUUAUAAAUCCGACUUUGUCCCCUCGCAGAGUUAAUCCUUGAUAUGUACAUCCUGACCGGUGACGGAUUCUCUCUCCGAAGGUUUUCUAUCCAGCUUUCGAUAGAUGUAAUUCUUCCCUUUUUGUUCAGUUGGUAUAUCCUUUAUAU